CUACGUAGGGGGCGAGCGUUGUCCGGAAUGAUUGGGCGUAAAGGGCGCGUAGGCGGCUUUGCAAGUCAGUAGUGGAAGUCCAUUUUUCAAGGAUGGAAGUGCUACAGAAACUGCGGAGCUUGAGUGCAGGAGAGGUUAUCGGAAUUCCCGGUGUAGCGGUGAAAUGCGUAGAGAUCGGGAGGAACACCAGUGGCGAAGGCGGGUAACUGGACUGCAACUGACGCUGAGGCGCGAAAGUGUGGGGAGCAAACAGGAUUAGAUACCCUGGUAGUCCACACUGUAAACGAUGAAUGCUAGGUGUGGGAGGUAUCGACCCCUUCUGUGCCGCAGUAAACACAGUAAGCAUUCCGCCUGGGGAGUACGGUCGCAAGAUUAAAACUCAAAUGAAUUGACGGGG
Molecule: ribosomal RNA, 397 nt
Filed under: uncultured bacterium
Lineage: Bacteria
Description: partial 16S ribosomal RNA
Rfam family: Bacterial small subunit ribosomal RNA
Source: RNAcentral